AUACUUACCUGGCAAGGGAGAUACCGUGAUCAAGAAGGCGGUUCACCCAGGGCGAGGCUCAGCCAUUGCACUCCGGCUGUGCUGACCCCUGCGAAUUUCCCAAAUGUGGAAAUCUCGAUUGCAUAAUUUAUGGUGGUGGGGGACUGCGUUCGCGCUCGCCCCUG
This 164-nucleotide small nuclear RNA is filed under the name Salmo salar (Atlantic salmon). RNAcentral describes it as "U1 spliceosomal RNA". It matches the Rfam family "U1 spliceosomal RNA". Rfam says of the family: U1 is a small nuclear RNA (snRNA) component of the spliceosome (involved in pre-mRNA splicing). Its 5' end forms complementary base pairs with the 5' splice junction, thus defining the 5' donor site of an intron. Lineage: Eukaryota; Metazoa; Chordata; Actinopteri; Salmoniformes; Salmonidae. The record is from Rfam by way of RNAcentral.